This 273-nucleotide ribosomal RNA is filed under the name uncultured Glomus. Its description in RNAcentral is "partial 18S ribosomal RNA". It matches the Rfam family "Eukaryotic small subunit ribosomal RNA", at positions 548 to 826 of the family's 1831-position model. Lineage: Eukaryota; Fungi; Glomeromycota; Glomeromycetes; Glomerales; Glomeraceae. The record is from RNAcentral.
UUGGAGGGCAAGUCUGGUGCCAGCAGCCGCGGUAAUUCCAGCUCCAAUAGCGUAUAUUAAAGUUGUUGCAGUUAAAAAGCUCGUAGUUGAAUUUCGGGGUUAGUAGGUUGGUCAUGCCUCUGGUAUGUACUGGUCUCACUGAUUCCUCCUUCCUUAUGAACCGUAAUGCCAUUAAUUUGGUGUUGCGGGGAAUUUGGACUGUUACUUUGAAAAAAUUAGAGUGCUUAAAGCAAGCUAACGCUUGAAUACAUUAGCAUGGAAUAAUGAAAUAGG